This 468-nucleotide ribosomal RNA is filed under the name uncultured bacterium. Its description in RNAcentral is "partial 16S ribosomal RNA". It matches the Rfam family "Bacterial small subunit ribosomal RNA", at positions 28 to 507 of the family's 1533-position model. The record is from RNAcentral.
GACGAACGCUGGCGGCGUGCUUAACACAUGCAAGUCGAACGGAAAGACCCUGCUUUUGUGGGGUGCUCGAGUGGCGAACGGGUGAGUAACACGUGAGUAACCUGCCCUUGACUUUGGGAUAACUUCAGGAAACUGGGGCUAAUACCGGAUAGGAGCUCCUGCUGCAUGGUGGGGGUUGGAAAGUUUCGGCGGUUGGGGCUGGACGCGCGGCUUAUCAGCUUGUUGGGGGGGGAGUGGCUUACCAAGGCUUUGACGGGUAGCCGGCCUGGGAGGGUGACCGGCCACAUUGGGCCUGAGAUACGGCCCAGACUCCUACGGGAGGCAGCAGUGGGGAAUAUUGCCCAAUGGGCGGAAGCCUGAUGCAGCAACGCCGCGUGCGGGAUGACGGCCUUCGGGUUGUAAACCGCUUUCGCCUGUGACGAAGCGUGAGUGACGGUAAUGGGUAAAGAAGCACCGGCUAACUACGUG